ACGGGAGGCAGCAGUGGGGAAUAUUGCACAAUGGGCGAAAGCCUGAUGCAGCGACGCCGCGUGAGUGAAGAAGUUAUUCGUAACGUAAAGCUCUAUCAGCAGGGAAGAAAAUGACGGUACCUGACUAAGAAGCCCCGGCUAACUACGUGUCAGCAGCCGCGGUAAUACGUAGGGGGCAAGCGUUAUCCGGAUUUACUGGGUGUAAAGGGAGCGUAGACGGCGAUGCAAGUCUGAUGUGAAAUGCGGGGGCUCAACUCCUGAACUGCAUUGGAAACUGUAUUGCUGGAGUGCCGGAGAGGUAAGCGGAAUUCCUAGUGUAGCGGUGAAAUGCGUAGAUAUUAGGAGGAACACCAGUGGCGAAGGCGGCUUACUGGACGGUAACUGACGUUGAGGCUCGAAAGCGUGGGGAGCAAACAGGAUUAGAUACCCUGGUA
This 434-nucleotide ribosomal RNA is filed under the name uncultured Lachnospiraceae bacterium. Its description in RNAcentral is "partial 16S ribosomal RNA". It matches the Rfam family "Bacterial small subunit ribosomal RNA", at positions 341 to 792 of the family's 1533-position model. The record is from RNAcentral. Lineage: Bacteria; Bacillati; Bacillota; Clostridia; Lachnospirales; Lachnospiraceae.